UCCCUGGAGGACUAGUGGUUAGGCCACAGUGCUCUCACUGCUGUGGCCUGGGUUUGAUUCCUGGCCAGGGAA
RNAcentral lists this transfer RNA (72 nucleotides) under Pangasianodon gigas (Mekong giant catfish). RNAcentral's name for it is "tRNA-Glu". It matches the Rfam family "tRNA". Rfam says of the family: Transfer RNA (tRNA) molecules are approximately 80 nucleotides in length. Their secondary structure includes four short double-helical elements and three loops (D, anti-codon, and T loops). The record is from RNAcentral. Lineage: Eukaryota; Metazoa; Chordata; Actinopteri; Siluriformes; Pangasiidae.